GGGGCGUUAGCUCAGUUGGUAGAGCAGCGGACUCUUAAUCCGUAGGUCCAGAGUUCGAGUCUCUGACGCCCCACCA
This 76-nucleotide transfer RNA is filed under the name Nitrospira sp. RNAcentral's name for it is "tRNA-Lys". It matches the Rfam family "tRNA". Rfam says of the family: Transfer RNA (tRNA) molecules are approximately 80 nucleotides in length. RNAcentral also lists the same sequence under 7 other names. The record is from RNAcentral. Lineage: Bacteria; Pseudomonadati; Nitrospirota; Nitrospiria; Nitrospirales; Nitrospiraceae.